UAGAGACUUAGGUUAACAUAAACCGAAGGGCUUCAAAGCCUUAA
Molecule: transfer RNA, 44 nt
Filed under: Piprites chloris (white-winged piprites)
Lineage: Eukaryota; Metazoa; Chordata; Aves; Passeriformes; Pipridae
Description: partial tRNA-Trp
Source: RNAcentral